This 418-nucleotide RNase P RNA is filed under the name Rhodospirillales bacterium. RNAcentral describes it as "RNase P RNA component class A". It matches the Rfam family "Bacterial RNase P class A". From Rfam's summary of the family: Ribonuclease P (RNase P) is a ubiquitous endoribonuclease, found in archaea, bacteria and eukarya as well as chloroplasts and mitochondria. Its best characterised activity is the generation of mature 5'-ends of tRNAs by cleaving the 5'-leader elements of precursor-tRNAs. Lineage: Bacteria; Pseudomonadati; Pseudomonadota; Alphaproteobacteria; Rhodospirillales. The record is from RNAcentral.
UCAGGUGGCCGGAUGGCCGCCUUCGCCGCGGGUUCGGCCCGAGGCGGGGGAGGAAAGUCCGGGCUCCACGGAAACACGGUGCCGGGUAACGCCCGGCGGGGGCGACCCCAGGGACAGUGCCACAGAAAGCAAACCGCCCGGCCGCCGGCCCCACCCGGGGCCAAGACGGCCGCCGGGCAAGGGUGAAAGGGUGCGGUAAGAGCGCACCGCGGCCCCGGCAACGGGGACGGCACGGUAAACCCCACCGGGAGCAAGACCAAGUAGGGACGGCACGCCGGCUGAGCGCCGGCAGGCGGGUUUCCGCGCCGCUGUCCGGGUCGGUCGCGCGAGGCGUUCGGCAACGGGCGUCCCAGAUGAAUGGCCAUCGCCGUCGCUGGCCGCGGCGGUACAGAACCCGGCUUACAGGCCACCUGGCGCC